CUAUAUAGCUAGGGGUGCCUCGAGGCUGAGAGUCCGAAAGGUCGGACGACCCUCACAACCUGACCUGGGUAAUACCAGCGUAGGGAAGCCGGUUCCAGAGCGG
RNAcentral lists this non-coding RNA (103 nucleotides) under Nitrospira moscoviensis. RNAcentral describes it as "TPP sequence". It matches the Rfam family "TPP riboswitch aptamer (THI element)". From Rfam's summary of the family: Vitamin B(1) in its active form thiamin pyrophosphate (TPP) is an essential coenzyme that is synthesised by coupling of pyrimidine and thiazole moieties in bacteria. The previously detected thiamin-regulatory element, thi box was extended, resulting in a new, highly conserved RNA secondary structure, the THI element, which is widely distributed in eubacteria and also occurs in some archaea. The record is from Rfam by way of RNAcentral. Lineage: Bacteria; Pseudomonadati; Nitrospirota; Nitrospiria; Nitrospirales; Nitrospiraceae.